GAAAUGCGAUAAGUAAUGUGAAUUGCAGAAUUCAGUGAAUCAUCGAAUCUUUGAACGCACAUUGCGCCCGCUGGUAUUCCGGCGGGCAUGCCUGUUCGAGCGUCAUUUCAACCCUCAAGCUCUCCGGAGUUUGGUGUUGGGGCGCCUGGGGCUUUUCGACCUCAGGGCCCUCAAGUCCAUCGGCGGGACCGCCAGGACACUGAGCGCAGUAGUAUUAUUUCGCUCGGUAGGAUCUUCCACGGCGGGUCGAUCUGGCCGCUAAACCCCCCAAUUCUCACCAAAGGUUGACCUCGGAUCAGGUAGGAAUACCCGCUGAACUUAA
RNAcentral lists this unclassified non-coding RNA (322 nucleotides) under uncultured Sordariomycetes. RNAcentral's name for it is "sequence contains ITS1". The stretch from base 1 to 105 matches the Rfam family "5.8S ribosomal RNA", at positions 50 to 154 of the family's 154-position model. The record is from RNAcentral. Lineage: Eukaryota; Fungi; Ascomycota; Sordariomycetes.